AGUGAACGCUGGCGGUAGGCCUAACACAUGCAAGUCGAACGGCAGCACAGGAGAGCUUGCUCUCUGGGUGGCGAGUGGCGGACGGGUGAGGAAUACAUCGGAAUCUGCCCAGUCGUGGGGGAUAACGUAGGGAAACUUACGCUAAUACCGCAUACGACCUUCGGGUGAAAGAGGGGGAUCGCAAGACCUCUCGCGAUUGGAUGAGCCGAUGUCGGAUUAGCUAGUUGGCGGGGUAAUGGCCCACCAAGGCGACGAUCCGUAGCUGGUCUGAGAGGAUGAUCAGCCGCACUGGAACUGAGACACGGUCCAGACUCCUACGGGAGGCAGCAGUGGGGAAUAUUGGACAAUGGGCGCAAGCCUGAUCCAGCCAUACCGCGUGGGUGAAGAAGGCCUUCGGGUUGUAAAGCCCUUUUGUUGGGAAAGAAAUCUUUCAGGCUAAUACCCUGGGAGGAUGACGGUACCCAAAGAAUAAGCACCGGCUAACUUCGUG
Molecule: ribosomal RNA, 490 nt
Filed under: uncultured bacterium
Lineage: Bacteria
Description: partial 16S ribosomal RNA
Rfam family: Bacterial small subunit ribosomal RNA
Source: RNAcentral